GGAUGUGAAGGUGAUCUGGCUGCAACAUCUGUCACCCCACUGAUACCAGGGUUGAUUCAGUGAUCUGGCUGUCCCCUUCCCCCCUCACUGCUCCAUGUGUGUCCCUCCUGAAGCUGCAUUCUCAGAAAAGAAGAGGACCACCUGGAUAGAGGAAGACCUUAGAGGAGUAGCUGUGCUCUCCCACUAGAAUCUCCAAACAAGCUUUUAAAACAGUGAGCAACAAAAGCAAAGUUGCUAAAAUUCAGGCAGCAGAGGAUGGCUUUGGUGA
Molecule: small nuclear RNA, 268 nt
Filed under: Chinchilla lanigera (long-tailed chinchilla)
Lineage: Eukaryota; Metazoa; Chordata; Mammalia; Rodentia; Chinchillidae
Description: 7SK RNA (ENSCLAG00000021764.1)
Rfam family: 7SK RNA
About the family: 7SK was discovered as an abundant small nuclear RNA in the mid-70s but a possible function has only recently been suggested. Two independent studies have found that 7SK RNA binds the CDK9/cyclin T complex (known as elongation factor P-TEFb).
Source: RNAcentral